Triticum aestivum (bread wheat) is the source of this 3496-nucleotide RNA transcript. RefSeq lists it as uncharacterized. The record is from RefSeq and is a predicted model, not a curated record. The transcript has 5 exons. NCBI's taxonomy places the organism in Eukaryota, Viridiplantae, Streptophyta, Magnoliopsida, Poales, Poaceae.
UCCUCCAGCGCACGCGCUUCUCAGCUCGGCUCUGCCUCUCUCGAUCUCCUCUCCAAACCCUAACUCUAACCACCAACCUCCACUCCCUGCCGCGCCGCCGCCUCCGCUCCCUACCGCGCCGCCGCCUCCGCUCGCCCUCGCGCCGUCGCAUCGCCUCCUCCUCCUCGCCAUCUCGGUGCUCACCGAGAGGAGCACGGCUCGCCGCCGCAGCUACUCCGCGUCGCUGCUCUCCCGUUGAGCUCGCGCGUCCCCAUCGCCUGGAGAAGCGGAGGCUGCAGCUCCUGCAUCUGCUCGGCCCUCUUUCCCUUGUCGCCGCCUGGUGGGUACUGGCUCGAAGGUGAAGAGGUACACCAGCAGUUGGAUCAAGACUAUAUGAGGUGAUGACAAACUGUGUAAUCUUUAGAUCCACUUGACCAUAGCAAGUAUCUGCAAGGUCAGAUUCUUGUGUCACUUGCUUAUAUCCGAUGAAGAGAGUCUACUUCGUACAGAUGUUUCAUUUUACCUAGGGAUAAAAAGUGCAAUGUAAAGGUUCAUUAAACAAUCUGAACUUAUAUCUAUCAUUUAGGUGCUGAAUUUGUCUAUUUGAACUUUAUUGGUACUGAAGUUAUCUCGAUGACUGAUAUUCAUUGAUGUAACAUGUGCUGGGAUAAAUAAUAUACAAGUGGAUAUGAGGGAUAGAUAAUACAAUAGAUGAGGGUGAGCUUCAGAUUUUUGAGAAGUGUUUUUAAUGAUAACUAAAUUCUUUCAAAGUAAGGGAAUGAUUUAAACUUCUGUCGUAAACAAUGGUGUGCCUCACUCAUUUGGAUUUGAAAUUAUUGGAUUGAGUUGAUAUGAUGCGAUAUAAGGAAAUAGUCAUCUGCACGUAUACUAAUGUAGAUACAGUCUCUUUGCAACAGAAGUAUUUAAGGAUUUUUUUUGUUUCAUUUGUGGCACAAGGGAAGCCAUGGUUGAUGAUUCCUUGCCUUUCCAGUGCUUGGGCGCACCUAGCAGCUGCUUCACGCCUCCUGAGAAUGCCGGUAUCUCUUACUUAGGUUGGUGCUGUACGGCUUGGUUGAGCUCAAAAUUCAAUGGAGACGGCAAUUGUCAGUUUUGGGCGUCGUCUGUUCAAUUUUACCGAACUCCUGAACACCGUAUAUUUGUAUGGCAACAGCUGGUGAAGCAGCUUGGAUCUCAUUGGCUCAUCAUGAGGUAUAUACUGGAUAUGUCCCUAUGGAUUACAGAGAAUAUCUUAAGAAGAUGCCAAAGUCAGUGCCUGCUCCUUUUCACUAUUUAUUUACCAGUAAAUAUUUAUCAAUUAGAGUGGAAGGAUGAACUGUCCUUACAUUUCUAUGCUUAUUACUGAACCAACUAGAGAUGGACAGUGAGGUGAUCAUGUUACACUGCAGGCUGCCACGGACUUGGUAGCAUGUUUCUUCCUCAUCUUAUUAUAUUACCAAUCUGUCGCACCUGUAUGUACAUUCUCAGGGUAUCUAUGUAGUGCAUAUAGUUCAUGAUUGACUAAUAGUAAUUUAGUUUUGACUGCCAUCAUAUCAGAAUAGUUAGAUUGCAGUUUCAAUCAUAAAUAGCUCAGUUUAUGAUUGAACUAUUGCUGCUGUCCAAGACCUUUCGAUUUUAUAUCCAGGUGAUCUUUCUGUUGGACUUUCUGAUCCUCCUAGCUGCACCUUGGCGAAGUCUGUCGGAAUUUCUAAUUCUGAUGACGAUCAGUACGUGUGAUGGUCCAUUAAUCAUCUUGUUGAAAGUGCAUUUUUAAAAGAAACUUCCGCAUGGUUAAAUAAUACACAUGAGGACAUGUGGUUUAGUUGAUUUGGUCUUACACAUAUUAUGGAUUUCUGGUUUAGAUACCGGAAUCGCUGAUAAAUACCACGCCUAGCCUCUGUUUCCCUUCCUUAGCUAACAGUGCUACGCACACGUUUAUGGCAUUCCUGUCUACCCUGAAGCAAAAUAAAGGAAAAGCCCGUGGUAAAAGGCUUGUAUAUGGCCCAAUCAAUUAAACAUUGACAUGGCGGAAGCCGAAUAUAUGGUUCUUCCAGUUAUUAGUUACCCUUUUGCAUUCUCAGAGCAAUUGAAUUAAUAUGAUGAUAAAAUGUACUAACCAGUUAAGUACCAUGGUUUCAGAACCAUAUUCUGAUAUUCAUACAGGCAAAUCAUUUUGAGGCGAAGAACCGGAUGUCUUUUUCCUCAAAGUAACUUAAACCAAGCUACCGGUCCUAUAGCUUGGGGUCUCAUUGCGCAUGCGUAUCUACUGUAGUGUGCUGUUGUUUGUUUUGUACAACUUAUAAGAUACUCUGCACAUGCAUAUGAUGCCUAUGAAUGUAAGAUCAUGUAGCAAUGUUUUUUUUCCUUCUUUCCAGGAGAGCCUUUAGCUGCUAACAAACAUUGUGUUGUUUAUUGUGUGAGAGUUUUGAGCAGAGGAACCAAGUAGAAACUGCCCAGGCCUUACUUGUGUUGAUGUGAUGCCUUAGCAUAUAUGAUUUCAAAUCAAACAUUGUUAUAUCUUCUAAAUCAGUGUUUCCCAUCACACAACAUAAAUUAGUGAUUCAAAUUGAUAUGGGAGUGCUCUAAGAAAUUGCCUAAUGUUCGAAACAAUUAGUGGUUCAAAUUGCAAUAUAUUGUAAACGAUUUAUUGUUUUAGGAAUGUUACCAGGGUUUGAGAUUCAAUUGGUGAGGUCGGAUUUACUUUUAUAUUGUUUGGGUCAUGUUUACAUGUUUUUCUUGGUUGCAAGUGCUCUACAAUUUUAUAUUGACCGCACUUAUAAUGCUUAGAGAAUUCCAAGCACGAAACCAUGGUAUGCACAGUUGGUUAGACCUUCAAAAUUAUAUGGUCUCCAGCUCAUCAACUCUUUGAAAAUAAAAGGUCUGCCAGAACACUUUGCCCUCUUUUAUCAUGUUGGUUCACUUCUUUUCUAUACCACUUGCUCUUUUGAUACCUCAUUCUACAUGUGCCUAAUAAGUACUGCAUCUUCCAUCAGUAUUCGCAUAUGGUUGAGAUGAAAAGUUGCAUCUAAUAUCAUGUAGCUCCAGUCAGAGUUUUCUGGUCCAGUACUUGCCAGGGAAUACUUACCUUGCCAUUUGGUGUGAUUAUGUGCUCUUAUGGGGCUGGUUUUGUUGUAGAUUGGUGAACUCAAGAGGCUGUUGGAGGGAGGUCAAGUAUGUUGGGUUAUAGAGGCGAGCCCCGACACCAUCAGGCAUUCUUACAUUGUGCACCUGAUCUCUACCAUGUAGAUGGAAUGGUCUAUGUGGGCUUGCCCGAGAUUGCCCCUCUCUGCAGGUGAAUUGGGACUUUACAAACUCGACUUUUGUGCUUCCAUAAUCAAUAGUCCUGAUUGAAUGAGUUGUAUCGGUUAUGUAAACUCGCUUCAUGCGUGACUUACUGUGCACAUAUAAGCUAUGCUAUAUUGUUCAUACACUUCCUAUUCCUGUGACUCAUCAUCUGGAUGGUAGAGUAAUAAUUAGUUGUGACGUUUGUUGGUAUAAUAUAUUGAACCUCCUUUUGGUA